AAAAUAAAGUGGCUUAAACUGCAGCCAUGGUAAAAUGUUACAAUACUAGAACCCACAUGAUACUGAAAGUUUCUGUUGGCUUUAGCCCUACUGUCAGAGUCUGUUGAGCUAUGUGGUGAUCUUUACUGCAUUUGUGACAAAUGAAGGCAAGCAAGAUUGUUAGUGUCUACAAAAACUUUACAUAUACUUUGUAAUGGAUGUGCUGAAAAAGAUCUUAAUGUAUUAGUAUCAAGCUUAUGCAUACAUGUUGUUAAAGCUUGCUGAUUUUAUUCCAGCAGAAUUUCCUGGAAUCCUCUGGUGCUGUUUUCUUGUGUUGAAGUAGUGAAUGAUUUCCUGUGGUCAUGACAUGUAUACUGUGUCCCAGGCUGAUGGACUUCUGCUUGAGACUUUAUAAAGGAGCCAGAAAUGAAAGUGCUAACCACCUCACACAAACAUCUCAGAAGAUGACAGACAUGGGGGAUUUCCUGCAAAGAUAUCUUGAUCACACUUGAGCACCAUACCUGAAUUAAUUAUUUAGGAACCACCAAAUAGAUUAGAACCUGCUUCUUCUCACCUGAGAUUGCCUAAUUGAGUUUGUGGUGGCCAUGCACAAUCCACUUGUUAAAUACUUCAGCUGCUGAGGUGAGCUGAAACAUAGCCUUUUGCUGCUUAUGAGUUACCUGAACAGAUUAUUUCAAAGGUCCUCAUUCUGCUCCUGAAGUUUCAAAUAGUGCUAAGGAGAAAUUAAGUAAAGCACACUCCAGCACUGCUUAUGAGCUACACAGUAUCAGACAGGUUGUCAGAAUGCUUUUGCAGACACUUUCAAAGGGCUCUAGGGAAAAAAAAAAGUUAAGUCAAUAGUCUGCCAUACAGAAAAUUUCAUCAUAGUUAUUUCUCAAAUGUCAGGUAUGAAUUAGGUUUGAUUUAUUGGAUUGUGUUUUAGUGAAACAUCUAAAAAAACAGUAGAGUAGAUGUAUUUUCAGAGCCUGAGUACACAUGCCUUGACUAAGAGUUCAGGGAAGGAUAUUU
RNAcentral lists this long non-coding RNA (1008 nucleotides) under Parus major (Great Tit). RNAcentral describes it as "lncRNA (ENSPMJG00000006625.1)". The record is from RNAcentral. Lineage: Eukaryota; Metazoa; Chordata; Aves; Passeriformes; Paridae.